GCUGCUUACAGCAUUCGUAGGCUUCUCCGAUUCGAUGGUUGUGGUGUCUGCUGCAGUGCUUGGAGUCCUCAGGAAGCGCUAGGAGCAUCCUUCAACGGAGGUACCCAGUCGGGGUGCCAGGUGAUCCGCUACAGAGGUGUUCCCUAGGUUUAGGGGAACAUCCAGAAAAUGAGGAGAAAUGUGUCCUGCAUAAUAAGGGGAGGCGAUGUGGGGGUGGCAACUCAUAUAUGAUUG
This is a non-coding RNA of Pelobates cultripes (western spadefoot toad), 234 nucleotides long. The record is from the annotation of a GenBank genome assembly. NCBI's taxonomy places the organism in Eukaryota, Metazoa, Chordata, Amphibia, Anura, Pelobatidae.